Molecule: ribosomal RNA, 366 nt
Filed under: Triticum aestivum (bread wheat)
Lineage: Eukaryota; Viridiplantae; Streptophyta; Magnoliopsida; Poales; Poaceae
Description: partial small subunit ribosomal RNA
Source: RNAcentral
AUGGCCAACCCGAUGUACGGCUCCGGGCCGCUUCGAUCCAGGAACGCGCCGAGCUCGGACGAGAUCCAGCUGCGGAUCGACCCGGUGCAUGGCGAUCUUGACGAGGAGAUCGAUGGGCUGCACUCGAGGGUUCGCAUGUUGAAAGGCGUCGCCCAAGAGAUAAACUCCGAGGCCAAGUUCCAGAAUGAUUUCCUCAACCAACUGCAACUGACCCUUACGAAAGCUCAGGCUGGAGUGAAGAAUAACAUGCGAAGGAUGAACAAAAGCAUCAUCCAGCAGGGCUCCAAUCAUAUUGUCCAUGUUGUCCUAUUUGCUCUGUUGUGCUUCUUUGUUGUCUAUCUUUUGUCAAAGUUCUCUAGAAGAUAG